AUUGUUGUCUCCAGUGCUGGCCCGGUCACUCUGGCAAGUGCACGUAGACAGCUUUCAUCCAAUACCCUUGUGAACCUUUGGCCUCUUGCUAGCUUCGGCCAGCAGAGGAUUUUUACACCCACUCGAAUGUAAUGAAAUUACUGUUGUGCACAAGCACUAAUAUACAACUUUCAACAACGGAUCUCUUGGCUCUCGCAUCGAUGAAGAACGCAGCGAAAUGCGAUAAGUAAUGUGAAUUGCAGAAUUCAGUGAAUCAUCGAAUCUUUGAACGCACCUUGCACCCUUUGGUAUUCCGAAGGGUAUGCUCGUUUGAGUGUCAUUGUACUCUCACACUUCCGAUCGUUGGAUCGGGAGCGGUGGACUUGGGUGUUGCUGCUUUACUGUGGCUCACCUUAAAUGCAUUAGUGCAACUUUCGGUUGGACAUAGUACGGCGUGAUAAGUGUCUUCGCCGGCACCUCACAGAGGGUGGCCAAUCGGGAGCUCUGUGCUUCAAACCGUCUUCGGACAAUAACUGACAACUUGACCUCAAAUCGAGUAGGACUACCCGCUGAACUUAAGCAUAUCAAUAA
RNAcentral lists this ribosomal RNA (570 nucleotides) under uncultured Sebacina. RNAcentral's name for it is "eukaryotic LSU rRNA". The stretch from base 166 to 319 matches the Rfam family "5.8S ribosomal RNA". Lineage: Eukaryota; Fungi; Basidiomycota; Agaricomycetes; Sebacinales; Sebacinaceae. The record is from RNAcentral.